AAGGCUUUAGCUUAAUUAAAGUGUCUGUUUUGCAUACAGGAGAUGUGGGUUAAAAGCCCGCAAGUCUUA
Molecule: transfer RNA, 69 nt
Filed under: Blenniella gibbifrons (hump-headed blenny)
Lineage: Eukaryota; Metazoa; Chordata; Actinopteri; Blenniiformes; Blenniidae
Description: tRNA-Ala
Rfam family: tRNA
About the family: Transfer RNA (tRNA) molecules are approximately 80 nucleotides in length. Their secondary structure includes four short double-helical elements and three loops (D, anti-codon, and T loops). Further hydrogen bonds mediate the characteristic L-shaped molecular structure. tRNAs have two regions of fundamental functional importance: the anti-codon, which is responsible for specific mRNA codon recognition, and the 3' end, to which the tRNAs corresponding amino acid is attached (by aminoacyl-tRNA synthetases). tRNAs cope with the degeneracy of the genetic code in two manners: having more than one tRNA (with a specific anti-codon) for a particular amino acid; and 'wobble' base-pairing, i.e. permitting non-standard base-pairing at the 3rd anti-codon position.
Source: RNAcentral